GACGAACGCUGGCGGUGUGCUUAACACAUGCAAGUCGAACGGAAAGGCCCUGCUUUUGUGGGGUGCUCGAGUGGCGAACGGGUGAGUAACACGUGAGUAACCUGCCCUUGACUUUGGGAUAACUUCAGGAAACUGGGGCUAAUACCGGAUAGGAGCUCCUGCUGCAUGGUGGGGGUUGGAAAGUUUCGGCGGUUGGGGAUGGACUCGCGGCUUAUCAGCUUGUUGAUGGGGUAGUGGCUUACCAAGGCUUUGACGGGUAGCCGGCCUGAGAGGGUGACCGGCCACAUUGGGACUGAGAUACGGCCCAGACUCCUACGGGAGGCAGCAGUGGGGAAUAUUGCACAAUGGGCGGAAGCCUGAUGCAGCAACGCCGCGUGCGGGAUGACGGCCUUCGGGUUGUAAACCGCUUUCGCCUGUGACGAAGCGUGAGUGACGGUAAUGGGUAAAGAAGCACCGGCUAACUACGUG
RNAcentral lists this ribosomal RNA (468 nucleotides) under uncultured bacterium. Its description in RNAcentral is "partial 16S ribosomal RNA". It matches the Rfam family "Bacterial small subunit ribosomal RNA", at positions 28 to 507 of the family's 1533-position model. The record is from RNAcentral.